Molecule: long non-coding RNA, 921 nt
Filed under: Daucus carota (carrot)
Lineage: Eukaryota; Viridiplantae; Streptophyta; Magnoliopsida; Apiales; Apiaceae
Description: long non-coding RNA (DCAR_LNC000946)
Source: RNAcentral
AAAGAGCUAAUUAGUUGCUGGGAAUUUUAGAAGUAUUCUCUCUUUCAUCUCUACAAACACUCUCUACAAAUACUUCUUCUCUAAAACCUCUUUUCUUAUACAUAUAUAUUUAUAUAUACAAGGUUUUAGUUAUAUAAGCUUAGUUCAACCAACCAAGCUCUCUCCCAACCCAACUAGCUCAACCACUACUACUUUAGGCCUCCCGUAGGGCUGCCCAAGUUCCGCCACUAAGCCAAAAUCCGGCCGAACCUCCGGCGAAUUUUUCCGGCGAACUUUCCGAUCGUUUUUGUAAGUGGUUAUUAUUUUAGCUUCGAUCCGAGUCUUAACCGACCAUUAUAUAUACAAGAGCUCGUUAUUAUUCUCGAUCUAUUCAUCUUAAAGCUCUUCAUCUUAUAUCUCUUAUAAAAGAGAUUUCUUAUUUCGAAUUAAAUUCAAACACGAACUAACAAAGUCGUGUUAUUCGAAAUAUAAAUAUAUAUACACGAACUAUAGAUUCGGUGUAUAUUUAAACGAACUAAGAUUCGUUACAUUUGAGUUAUAUACAUAAACAAAGUUUAUAUCUUUCGAAUAUACUCAAAUAUAUUUUGAUACAAACGAACUACGAUUUGUAUCUUCUUACGAACUAAAGAUUCGUAAUAAAUCUCGAAAACGAGAUUAAUAUUUGACGACGGUCAAAAUCAAUUUUAUUAAGCUUGAUUCUAUUCCCAACUAUCAUCGUAUUGUUCCGUGGGAAGAAAAUCUAAAAGGCUUACUUUAAUUCUUUAACUUUACUUAGCACUAACUUAGCCAACUAACUUAUUUACUUUCCGCUAUUUACUUUCUGCACUUUAUUGUUAUUAUUUAUUGUUGUUGUAAUUGCGGAUUCUAGUUUGGCUAUAUCAUUAUAUUGUGCUAAAGUUAAAGAAAGACUACACUCUCUCU